CUUGCAUUUAAUUUCCCCGGCUGCUUACAAAAGCCGUUUGCCCUCACGCCGACCCGCCCCGCCAAAAGCUCAACAUAGGACGGGGGUGCCCUUCCAAUUCCCCCAAAAUCUCCCCCCGCCGGAUAUUCCAAGCCCACGCCACGCCGCCGAGCCAGUGCUCCCGCGAGCCGCGCCGCGGACGCCGCCCGCCUCAUCCGAAAUGGCCCCGCCUGCCGCGGCCGAGCUCGUCGUCCCCGCCGCGCCCGCGCUGCUUGGGGAGCCCGGGGCUCCCCCUCCCCCUCUGCAUGAUCGGGACGUCGCCAAGCGCGGGCGCCCCGGGCUCCGGCCCCAGGGCGCCGGCGCGCGCAUCCUGUCCCUCGGCGUGCGCGCGGCGGUGAUGGCGGCCGCGGUCGCGAUCUUCCUCCUCUUCGCCGCCGCGUCCGCCGUGCUCCUCCUCGUCCUCGUCGUCGCCGCGCGCGCCUUCCGCCACCACCGCGGCAGCCGCUACCGCGUCCCGUCGCGCGGCCCGGCCCCGCCGCCGUCGCCGCUCCGCGCGGGGCUCUCGCCCGACGACCUCCGCCGCCUCCCGACCUUCGCCUUCCCCUCCCCGCCACGCGACGGCGGGGGGACCCCCUCCCCCUGCGCCGUGUGCCUCGAGGCCCCGCGCGCCGGGGAGCGGUGGCGCGCGAUGCCGGCCUGCCGGCACGCGUUCCACGCCGCCUGCGUCGACCGGUGGCUCGCCAGGUCGCCCGCCUGCCCCGUCUGCCGCGCCGCCGUCGCCGUCUCGGCGAGAUGAUGCCGCGAUCCUGCCCACGCGUGGGCAACACACCAUACAGGACCCGAAGAAACUAUUGGCACCUCCGGAUAACUCCGAAUUUAUUUGCACAGCCAGGCAGAAAAAGGUUUCUUGUGGUUCCUGGCAGUGGCCGGCGACGGCAGCCUCACUUUUGGAGAGUAGAGGGACGAGCCGGAGCGUUCAAACAUUCUUGCCUCGUGCUGGAUUCGCACGUCGAGUCGAACAGCAAGUCCGCCGUCGAACGGGCCAGCGGUCAGUGGUCAGGCGAGCCUUCGGCAAAAGAGCUGGAUAAAAAGCUGGUCAAAAAGCGGAGUGAGAAGGAAGGGUUCCCCGAUAAGGAAGGCUGACCCGAUACCCAUAACCUACAGAGAGCGAGUUCAAUAUCCGCCUACAAAGAAGCAACUAAAAUCCUGACUGACAAGGUUUGGGGCUAUCUAAUAGCAAAAAUCUCCUUCUAACAAGACAGGGUAUUCACUACUGUAAGGUACUGAGAGAACAGGUAGUCAGCAGCGGCGAAUUUCACAUGUCCGGUCACUAGGCUGUUCGGAAGGAUGGCUGGGCUGGCUGGCUGGGCUGAAUCGGCUGGCCAGCCGUUCGGCGGCCCAGCCAGUCAGUGGCAAACCCCUUCCAGCCUCCUAAAAGAGUAUUCCAGGGCAAAAUUUGCCCUGAGACACCGUUGGAACGCGAGCUUUGCCAAAAGCCACUAUACAAUCGCAUCUAUG
Molecule: RNA transcript, 1497 nt
Organism: Panicum virgatum (switchgrass)
Lineage: Eukaryota; Viridiplantae; Streptophyta; Magnoliopsida; Poales; Poaceae
Gene name: RING-H2 finger protein ATL56-like
Exons: 4
Source: RefSeq, a predicted model, not a curated record